UUGCAGGUUAGAGUAAUUGGUAACUUGCUAGGCUCAUGCCCUAGAGAUUUAGGUUCAAGUCCUAAGCCUGCAAU
This 74-nucleotide transfer RNA is filed under the name Ulva compressa. RNAcentral's name for it is "tRNA-Met". It matches the Rfam family "tRNA". Rfam says of the family: Transfer RNA (tRNA) molecules are approximately 80 nucleotides in length. The record is from RNAcentral. Lineage: Eukaryota; Viridiplantae; Chlorophyta; Ulvophyceae; Ulvales; Ulvaceae.